UACGGGGGGCAGCAGUGGGGAAUCUUGCACAAUGGGGGAAACCCUGAUGCGGCGACGCCGCGUGAGCGAUGAAGCCCUUCGGGGUGUAAAGCUCCUUCGUCAGGGAAGAUGAUGACGGUACCUGGAGAAGCAGCUGCGGCUAACUACGUGCCAGCAGCCGCGGUAAUACGUAGGCAGCGAGCGUUGUUCGGAGUUACUGGGCGUAAAGGGUGUGUAGGCGGUUCUUUAAGUUUGGUGUGAAAUCUCCCGGCUCAACCGGGAGGGUGCGCCGAAUACUGAGGGACUCGAGUGCGGGAGAGGAAAGUGGAAUUCCUGGUGUAGCGGUGAAAUGCGUAGAUAUCAGGAGGAACACCGGUGGUGUAGACGGCUUUCUGGACCGUAACUGACGCUGAAACACGAAAGCGUGGGUAGCAAACAGGAUUAGAUACCCUUGUAGUCAUCUUCUAGA
Molecule: ribosomal RNA, 448 nt
Filed under: uncultured Acidobacteriota bacterium
Lineage: Bacteria; Pseudomonadati; Acidobacteriota
Description: bacterial SSU rRNA
Rfam family: Bacterial small subunit ribosomal RNA
Source: RNAcentral